Molecule: ribosomal RNA, 254 nt
Filed under: uncultured bacterium
Lineage: Bacteria
Description: partial 16S ribosomal RNA
Rfam family: Bacterial small subunit ribosomal RNA
Source: RNAcentral
UACGUAGGGUGCGAGCGUUGUCCGGAAUUAUUGGGCGUAAAGAGCUCGUAGGCGGUGUGUCACGUCGGCCGUGAAAACCUGCAGCUUAACUGUGGGCGUGCGGUCGAUACGGGCAUCACUGGAGUUCGGCAGGGGAGACUGGAAUUCCUGGUGUAGCGGUGAAAUGCGUAGAUAUCUGGAGGAACACCGGUGGCGAAGGCGGCAUCCUGGACCGACAUUGACGCUGAGGCGCGAAAGCCAGGGGAGCAAACGGG